AGAUUGAACGCUGGCGGCAUGCCUUACACAUGCAAGUCGAACGGCAGCACGGGGGCAACCCUGGUGGCGAGUGGCGAACGGGUGAGUAAUGCAUCGGAACGUGCCCAGUAGUGGGGGAUAACUAGUCGAAAGAUUAGCUAAUACCGCAUACGACCUAUGGGUGAAAGCGGGGGAUUCGCAAGAACCUCGCGCUAUCGGAGCGGCCGAUGUCUGAUUAGCUAGUUGGCGGGUAAAAGCCACCAAGGCUUCGAUCAGUAGCUGGUCUGAGAGGACGACCAGCCACACUGGGACUGAGACACGGCCCAGACUCCUACGGGAGGCAGCAGUGGGGAAUUUUGGACAAUGGGCGCAAGCCUGAUCCAGCCAUGCCGCGUGCGGGAAGAAGGCCUUCGGUGUAAACCGCUUUUUGGCAGGAACGAAACGGCGCGAGCAAAUAUCUCGCGUUAAUGACGGUACUGCAGAAUAAGCACGGCUAACUACGUGCCAGCAGACCG
Molecule: ribosomal RNA, 494 nt
Filed under: uncultured soil bacterium
Lineage: Bacteria
Description: bacterial SSU rRNA
Rfam family: Bacterial small subunit ribosomal RNA
Source: RNAcentral